Oncorhynchus keta (chum salmon) is the source of this 663-nucleotide long non-coding RNA. RefSeq lists it as uncharacterized. The record is from RefSeq and is a predicted model, not a curated record. Lineage: Eukaryota; Metazoa; Chordata; Actinopteri; Salmoniformes; Salmonidae. The transcript is spliced from 2 exons.
GCGUUCUGGCGAAUGGAACCAUCAAUGGAAAGAGGAGUGUAAGGGGCCCGAGUGUUUUGUUUUACAGUAAAACUAAUGGAAAGAGGAGUGUUUAAGGGGCCUGAGUUUUUUUGUUUUACAGUAAAACAUAUGGAAAGAGGAGUGUAAGGGGCCUGAGUGUUUUGUUUUACAGUAAAACAUAUGGAAAGAGGAGUGUAAGGGGCCUGAGUGUUUUGUUUUACAGUAAAACAUAUGGAAAGAGGAGUGUUUAAGGGGGCUGAGUGUUUUGUUUUACAGUAAAACUAAUGGAAAGAGGAGUGUUUAAGGGGGCUGAGUGUUUUGUUUUACAGUAAAACUAAUGGAAAGAGGAGUGUUUAAGGGGCCUGAGUGUUUUGUUUUACAGUAAUACAUAUGGAAAGAGGAGUGUUUAAGGGGUCUGAGUGUUUUGUUUUACAGUAACACAUAUGGAAAGAGGAGUGUAAGGGGCCUGAGUGUUUUGUUUUACAGUAAAACUAAUGGAAAGAGGAGUGUUUAAGGGGUCUGAGUGUUUUGUUUUACAGUAACACAUAUGGAAAGAGCAAUGUAAGGGGCCUGAGUGUUUUGUUUUACAGUAAAACUAAUGGAAAGAGGAGUGUUUAAGGGGGCUGAGUGUUUUGUUUUACAAUAAAACAUAUGGAAAGAGGA